ACGACCACAUGAAGCUGAGAGAGAGAUUAACGUUCGGCCCCUGCUGAGCACUGGUGUUAACCAACACUUUUGCUUUAUGAUGAGCAUGUAAUAGUUGUAAUUAACCAAUAACAUAAAAUGUCCUUUGUUAAAUGUUGUUAACUAGUUGUGGUUUUAAUCGUGCAAGAUUAUUUCAAAUCACAUGCCAAAACUAUUGCACAGAAUUGUUUUUGUGGUAGAAGUGGGUCUGAGCACACCAAGCAUUUGCCCCUAGAGUACAGAGAUGUGAAAGUAAAAGGUGACAGCCCUAAGGUGAAGUCUUAUCCAUCCACUGCUCCAGGUUGUCAUAACUCUUAUGAUUCAUGCCCUGUUGCAGCAGACACUUCCUUAUGGCCUGGAAACUUAAUAGCUUUAUUGUUCUGGCGGUGCUUUUAACUUGAAAUAAUCUCUGCUCUUUGAAGAUAUGCCCUCAGAUGCAGGCCGCACCCACCAUUCAGUUACAUGAAGGAUUCAAAUCCUUUUUUGCCCAUGUGUCAAAGGAUGAUUUUCACACUGUGUUUGAGAUUUGGAUUAACACAGGCAGAAAAUCCCAGUACCAUAUCAAUUUGUAAUCUGAGGAGAGAUUCUCUUGACAAACAAAGCAACGUAUGACAGUUUAAAGGGAGCCUUAAAAACAAAAACAUCAAAAAGACAGAGGGCUGGAGUGUCCUGGCCAGUGACUGACCAGUGACCAGUUCCUACCACGGCCGCGUCACAAGCACAGAGAGCAGCGUGAGGCCACAGGUGGUCAACAGGCUGAUUUUACUGCUGAUGUCACCAGAGGAAGUAGCACUGAUACCUGGGGGGAAGAAGGGACAUUUUAAAAGGGAGUCAAGAAACUCCAAUUCAACACACUAGUGCACUACAAUAGACAACUUCUGAGACAAUGUAUAACACAUUAUUUUAAGCAGUCGUUUUAAUUUGUCAUUUAUUACAUUUCAGUGAGCAUGACAGAGCCUCCUUAAAGAUGUGGCUGAACUCUUGUUUUAAAAUGGUUAGCUAAGUUUAAAACAUAUUACAAAACGAAUGAGCCUGACAUGACUUACUUGUUCCGUUUACUGAUAUGAUGUCCAGAUUCAACUUGCCACUUCUUGCUGCCCUUAGCAUGGUGUUGUAAAUAGCUGUGGCACUGGGUAGAGUGCUGUUGUAUGUGAAGCAGAGAUCUGAUAGGUGCACGAUGGAGUUGGGAUAAACUGGCCCAUCACUGGAAAUGAAAGACAUUUGCCAGAAGAGGAUUACUUAAACGGACUGAAUCCAUUUUAGACGUUUUUUUCAGCUAUGACAUUAAAACACAAAUGCUUACCAUGGAAAUUGUAUCAUUUCUAAUUCUUCAUAUAUGUAUAUAUAUAUAUGGUAUGGUAUGGUAUGGUAUAUAUGGAAUAUAUACUUUAUUUAUCUUACAAAAGGACAAGAACAAGAGCAAGAAGGAUCCAUAAACCUGAUGUUUACCUGAAAGACUGUGGAGUGAGACAGAUGAAGUCUGGUGAGUAGUCCUCUAGGAAGAAAGGCUCCAGCUGGGGAGGAAGUGAAAGGGUUAAUUUACUCAUCAUCCAUGCUGAGACACAAUCACACAUCAGUG
Long non-coding RNA from Clupea harengus (Atlantic herring), 1597 nucleotides. The record is from Ensembl. Lineage: Eukaryota; Metazoa; Chordata; Actinopteri; Clupeiformes; Clupeidae.